RNAcentral lists this ribosomal RNA (259 nucleotides) under Cucumis sativus (cucumber). RNAcentral describes it as "rRNA LSU_rRNA_eukarya". It matches the Rfam family "Eukaryotic large subunit ribosomal RNA", at positions 675 to 938 of the family's 3401-position model. The record is from RNAcentral. Lineage: Eukaryota; Viridiplantae; Streptophyta; Magnoliopsida; Cucurbitales; Cucurbitaceae.
CUGACAUGUGUGCGAGUUAACGGGCGAGUAAACCCGUAAGGCGCAAGGAAGCUGACUGGUGGGAUCCCCUAGUGGGUUGCACCACCGACCGACCUUGAUCUUCUGAGAAGGGUUCGAGUGUGAGCAUGCCUGUCGGGACCCGAAAGAUGGUGAACUAUGCCUGAGCGGGACGAAGCCAGAGGAAACUCUGGUGGAGGCCCGUAGCGAUACUGACGUGCAAAUCGUUGGUAGGGAUCGAUUAAGUCAUUACAUUACUUGG